This 432-nucleotide ribosomal RNA is filed under the name uncultured bacterium. Its description in RNAcentral is "partial 16S ribosomal RNA". It matches the Rfam family "Bacterial small subunit ribosomal RNA", at positions 28 to 507 of the family's 1533-position model. The record is from RNAcentral.
GAUGAACGCUGGCGGUAUGCUUAACACAUGCAAGUCGAACGGUCACUUCGGUGAUAGUGGCGGACGGGUGAGUAACGCGUGAGAAUCUGUCUUCAGGUCGGGGACAACAGUUAGAAAUGACUGCUAAUACCGGAUGUGCCUUUGGGUGAAAGAUUUAUUGCCUGAAAAAGAGCUCGCGUCAGAUUAGCUAGUAGGUGGUGUAAGAGACUACCUAGGCUCCGAUCUGUAGCUGGUCUGAGAGGACGAUCAGCCACACUGGAACUGAGACGCGGUCCAGACUCCUACGGGAGGCAGCAGUGGGGAAUUUUCCGCAAUGGGCGAAAGCCUGACGGAGCAAUACCGCGUGAGGGACGAAGGCUUUUGGGUCGUAAACCUCUUUUCUCAAGGAAGAUGAUGACGGUACUUGAGGAAUAAGCAUCGGCUAACUCUGUG